This 329-nucleotide ribosomal RNA is filed under the name uncultured eukaryote. Its description in RNAcentral is "partial 18S ribosomal RNA". It matches the Rfam family "Eukaryotic small subunit ribosomal RNA", at positions 1470 to 1796 of the family's 1831-position model. The record is from RNAcentral.
CCCUUAGAUGUUCUGGGCCGCACGCGCGCUACACUGAUGCAUUCAACGAGUCUAAAACCUGCUCUGAUAGGGGUGGGUAAUCUUUUGAAUGUGCAUCGUGAUUGGGAUAGAUGAUUGCAAUUUUUCAUCUUCAACGAGGAAUGCCUAGUAAACGCAAGUCAUCAGCUUGCAUUGAUUACGUCCCUGCCCUUUGUACACACCGCCCGUCGCUCCUACCGAUUGAAUGAUCCGAUGAAUAUCAUGGAUUGAGGAUGUAAGCAGGUUCGCCUGUCUUCAUCUUCGAGAGGUGAAGUAAAUCUUAUCAUUUAGAGGAAGGAGAAGUCGUAACA